UAGUCUCUCAUAGAAACUUCUGGCCUCUGGACACUGUGGGAGCAACUUUUCCUUUAUUAGACUGUCUCCUCUUUAACUGUACCUAGAAGAUACUUUAGCACAGCAAGCAUCUCUUUUAUGCUUACAUUAUGCAGUUAUGCAGACUUGGUGUACGUCCUUCAAGGACAGUCUAAGAAUCUUUGAUUCUAUUUCUGCUGGAUACAUUGUUGCAGAGAUGUAAGAAGGAAGGACUUAGAAAAGUAUGCUAUAAGAAUUGAAUGCUCAGAGGCAAGCUAACUUCACAAGGAGAAAAGAAAGAUGGAAACAGCCUAGACAAACUCAAAUCAAGUCCAGGAGACUUACGCUAGAGUUGCUUUUUCUAAUAGAAGAGACCAGUGUGCAAUUGUGAAUUGUGAUGCUGAGGCAAGCCCCAAGGAUGAAGAGAAUUAAAUAGAGGAGGAAGAGAAGAGGAAUAUUGCAGCAUGACUGGGAAGCCUGUCCUUCAUUACUUCAAUUGAAGAAGAAGAAUGGAGUCCAUCCGGUGGCUCCUGGCAGCAGCUGGAGUAGAGUUUGAGGAAGAACUUUUUGAAACCCAUGAAGAGUUUGAGAAGUUAAUCCAAGGUGGAACCCUGAUGUACGAGCAAGUGCCCAUGGUGGAAAUCGAUGGAAUGACUUUGAAGAGAAGGAGAUGAACCUUGAAUACAUCCUCCACCGAGCUACAACAAGAUUCUUCCCCGUUUAUGAGAAGGCCCUGAGAGACCACGGGCAAGACUUUCUUGUGGGCAAUCGGCUGAGCUUGGCUGAUGUCCAGCUCCUUGAAGUCAUCUUAAUGGCUGAAGAAUGCAAAGCCAGUGUUCUCUCGGGUUUCCCUCUGCUACAGGACUUCAAGGUGAGAACCAGCCAAAUUCCUACAAUUAACAGCUUCCUCCAACCUGGAAGCCAGAGGAAGCCUCCUUUGGAGGAGCGAUCCAUUGGGACUGCAAAGGACAUAUUCAAAUUUGAAUGAGGACUGUUUCUUAAAAACAUGAGCAAUAUAGUAGCUGAGUAUUAACAGCUACAGAGGCUGGAGUUACUCAGUAAGUAUACUGAGUAACUUGACACUGCAUUCAUAAAAAGACACUCACUAAGUAUAUGGCCAGAGAAAUAUCCUGAAGUUAGUAAUAAAUGUUAGGAAUCUUAGUAUGUUAGCAAUGUUAGAAUGUUAGUAAUGGAAAUAUUAAAUGUGUAAGAGAAAAACUACUAGAAGCUUAUCAAUAAACUACAAGAACCAACUCUUGUUUGAAGUAAGACAGGCUACCAAGACAGAAUUCAGAAAAUCCAAGGAGCCCUCGGCCUUCUGUAUGAUCCUAGAAUAAACUUGUAUGUAGCAAGUGAAA
RNAcentral lists this long non-coding RNA (1355 nucleotides) under Mus musculus (house mouse). Its description in RNAcentral is "predicted gene, 71569". The record is from RNAcentral. Lineage: Eukaryota; Metazoa; Chordata; Mammalia; Rodentia; Muridae.